RNAcentral lists this ribosomal RNA (509 nucleotides) under uncultured Verrucomicrobiota bacterium. RNAcentral's name for it is "bacterial SSU rRNA". It matches the Rfam family "Bacterial small subunit ribosomal RNA", at positions 69 to 561 of the family's 1533-position model. The record is from RNAcentral. Lineage: Bacteria; Pseudomonadati; Verrucomicrobiota.
UUUCGUUGUAGCAAUACGAUGGAAAGUCUAGUGGCGAACGGGUGCUUAACACGUGGGCAACCUGCCAGGAAGUGGGGGAUAGCUCGCCGAAAGGCGAAUUAAUACCGCAUGUGAUUAGAGAGGACAUCCUUUCGAAAUUAAAGUCGGGGCAACCUGACGCUUCUUGUGGGGCCCGCGGCCUAUCAGCUAGUUGGUGAGGUAACAGCUCACCAAGGCGUUGACGGGUAGCUGGUCUGAGAGGACGACCAGACACACUGGGACUGAGACACGGCCCAGACACCUACGGGUGGCAGCAGUCGAGAAUUUUUGACAAUGGGGGAAACCCUGAUCGAGCGACGCCGCGUGGAGGAUGAAGGUCUUCGGAUUGUAAACUCCUGUCAUUGGGGAACAAUGCGUGAUGGUUAACUGACGUUGCGUUGAUAGUACCCGAAGAGGAAGAGACGGCUAAAUCUGUGCCAGUAGACGCGGUAAUACAGAGGUCUCAAGCGUUGUACGGAUUCAUUGGGCGU